UACGUAGGGACCGAGCGUUGUCCGGAAUCAUUGGGCGUAAAGAGCGUGUAGGCGGCCACUUAAGUCCUGCGUGAAAUCUUGCGGCUCAACCGCAAGCGGUCGUGGGAAACUGGGUGGCUAGAGUGCGGGAGAGGAGAGUGGAAUUCCUGGUGUAGCGGUGGAAUGCGCAGAUAUCAGGAAGAACACCCGUGGCGAAGGCGGCUCUCUGGAACGCAACUGGACGCUGAGACGCGAAAGCGUGGGGAGCAAACAGG
Molecule: ribosomal RNA, 254 nt
Filed under: uncultured bacterium
Lineage: Bacteria
Description: partial 16S ribosomal RNA
Rfam family: Bacterial small subunit ribosomal RNA
Source: RNAcentral